Molecule: ribosomal RNA, 269 nt
Filed under: uncultured prokaryote
Description: partial 16S ribosomal RNA
Rfam family: Bacterial small subunit ribosomal RNA
Source: RNAcentral
UACGUAGGUGGCGAGCGUUGUCCGGAUUUACUGGGCGUAAAGGGAGCGUAGGCGGACUUUUAAGUGAGAUGUGAAAUACCCGGGCUCAACUUGGGUGCUGCAUUUCAAACUGGAAGUCUAGAGUGCAGGAGAGGAGAAUGGAAUUCCUAGUGUAGCGGUGAAGUGCGUAGAGAUUAGGAAGAACACCAGUGGCGAAGGCGAUUCUCUGGACUGUAACUGACGCUGAGGCUCGAAAGCGUGGGGAGCAAACAGGAUUAGAUACCCCUGUA